AUGGUGAGACCAUGUCAGUUAACUGUGAUCUGUCAGUCGGCGGUAAGCUUCAUCAUUUACAGAUUACACACGGUGCACUUCCCUUCCCGCCAUUUCAUUUACAGGUUACGGUGGGUUGUUUUGGAUGGACGGCUCGUCGUCCCUUCCCGCCAUUUCUGCCUCGCGUUCUCUGUCAUCCAUCUCGGCCACCAGCUCGCGGUACGCCGCGGAGGCCAGGCCGCCGGCCUCGGCGAUGGCGCCCAGCGCCGCCGCCAGCCCGACGCAGACCCUCCGCUUCCCUUCCUCCUCGUUCGGCGGCUCCUCCUCGGCGCUGCUGUUGCGGCGCCGCGCGGCCGUCGCGAUAGCCGCCGCCUCGGCCGCGACGCCCUCUACGGCCCGGAUCGCCGCGUCCACGUCCACGGCCUCGACCGCGCGGGCCCAGGCCACGAUCUGCCGCGGCAUGUCCUCGCCGUCCUUGACGCAGCUCCGCGCCCAGCCCCAGAGCGCCGCCGCGUACCCGCGCUGCGACUCGGCCCAGGCCUCCAGCGCCGCGCGCCAGCCGCGGAGCUCCGUCGCCAGCGCGCCCGCCGCCGUGGCCGCGCGCGUCGGCCCCGGCGGCGGCGGCGGGCCCCUGAUGCCUCCCUCCGCCCCGGCGGCCGAGGAGGAGAGGAGCGCGCUCGCCUCGUCCGCCGUGCGCUUCAUCACCCGGUGCGCGUCGCCGAUCACGCGCCACAUCCUUGCCAGCCUGAACAGCACAGCGACGCCGACGAGAAACAUCGAUCAAACACUUGCGGCGUCACCAUUGUCCGGGGAACCGAUCGAGCACGCCAUAAUAAACACACGUACCCUCGGAUGAGCUCGGCGAGCUGCGGCAGCAGCUCGUCGUCGCGGACGGCGACGAUCCGCCGGGACACGGCGUCGACGGAGGCGAGGGAGAUGUUGAGCUUGGUCCGGAGGUCCCUGAUGGCGGCCCUGGUCCUCUCGAUCGCGAACGGCUCCGCGCCGUUGGCGUCCUGGCUCCUCAGCUGCGCCACCUUCUUCUCGUACGACAGCCGGACGCGCUCCCCUGCCUGGAAAUACAUUUCAUAUCACAACUUCAUCCUAACUGGUUCUGAACUUAUGAUCAUUCUACGAGAGUUGGAGUUGAAUUCGAAGAGAAGCGCGUGUGAUCGGUCGAACGUACCCUGA
RNAcentral lists this ribosomal RNA (1167 nucleotides) under Triticum aestivum (bread wheat). RNAcentral's name for it is "partial small subunit ribosomal RNA". The record is from RNAcentral. Lineage: Eukaryota; Viridiplantae; Streptophyta; Magnoliopsida; Poales; Poaceae.